UACAGAGGUGCCAAGCGUUGUUCGGAUUUAUUGGGCGUAAAGGGUGCGUAGGCGGUCAUGCAAGUCGGAUGUGAAAUCCCGGAGCCUAACUCCGGAAUGGCAUUCGAAACUGCAUGGCUAGAGAUCUGGAGAGGUGACUGGAAUUCUCGGUGUAGCAGUGAAAUGCGUAGAUAUCGAGAGGAACACCAGAGGCGAAAGCGGGUCACUGGACAGAAUCUGACGCUGAGGCACGAAAGCUAGGGGAGCAAAC
This 250-nucleotide ribosomal RNA is filed under the name uncultured bacterium. RNAcentral describes it as "partial 16S ribosomal RNA". It matches the Rfam family "Bacterial small subunit ribosomal RNA", at positions 524 to 773 of the family's 1533-position model. The record is from RNAcentral.